RNAcentral lists this ribosomal RNA (253 nucleotides) under uncultured bacterium. RNAcentral describes it as "partial 16S ribosomal RNA". It matches the Rfam family "Bacterial small subunit ribosomal RNA", at positions 524 to 776 of the family's 1533-position model. The record is from RNAcentral.
CACGUAGGGGGCGAGCGUUGUCCGGAAUUACUGGGCGUAAAGGGUGCGUAGGCGGCCUGAUAAGUCAAGUGUGAAAUACCCGGGCUCAACCUGGGUGGUGCACGUGAAACUGUCGGGCUUGAGUGCAGGAGAGGGAAGUGGAAUUCCUAGUGUAGCGGUGAAAUGCGUAGAUAUUAGGAGGAACACCAGUGGCGAAGGCGGCUUCCUGGACUGUAACUGACGCUGAGGCACGAAAGCGUGGGGAGCAAACAGG